This 390-nucleotide long non-coding RNA is filed under the name Bos taurus (domestic cattle). Its description in RNAcentral is "long non-coding RNA NONBTAT015906". The record is from RNAcentral. Lineage: Eukaryota; Metazoa; Chordata; Mammalia; Artiodactyla; Bovidae.
UGUCUCAGUCAGAUCAACUUAGGAAGAAUUAUUGAAAGUCUGUGCUUAUUUUAAAAUAUUUGCCAAAACUUACACAAAGUAAGGUAUUGAAAUGAAUUAACAUUAAAAUGAUAAGGAUUUCAAGAAUAACUGAUUGAACACACUGGAAUCAAUGUUUCUCUUAAGCACUAUGGAAGACCACCUUAAUUUGAAACAAAGCAAAACAGCAACAAUAGAUGUAUGCUGCCCUAUACACAUUCUUAAAAAAUACUAACAGGAUUAGCCCUCUAAAAUUUUUCAAAAUUGAAAUAUGGCUUCUGAGCUUGAGGAAUAUUUUUUAAUACUAUGAAGGCAGCUUAAAGUGAAAAAUAUGAGCUAGCCCCCAAAAUUGCUGAAUCUAUUGAGGUGGAU